UUCCAGAAAGCAGUGUGCUCCCUGAGGAAAAGGCCGUGGUCAUUGUCUUAGGGAAUCUGCUGGCUCUGACUCUGACAGUCCUCAGCUGCCCCAUAAAUCUUCCAUCAGUUCCAUCCAGCCAAAAAGAUGUCAUCACCGUUUUCUCCUAGCGACAAGGAAUAAAAGGGCAUCCCUGACACCGGCUGCUGCUCACAUACGCUUGCCUGGGAAAGCAUUCACACACAUUGCAACAGUGUUGCUGAUUGGUAGCUGGUCUGGAGAUGGUGAAUAUUUAAAGUUGCAGAGCCACGUUGGAUGGUCUGUGUGGCUUGUCAGAGGUCGACUUCGUCUUCCUUGCCCGGAUUGUACACGCUGAGGGGCGGGCAGCCCUUCUGCCUUGGAGCUUGAGGGCCAGUUGUCAUCCUUCAGUCUGGUGCCUGGGGAUUUCAGGCUCCUUCAUGAGCACCAGCUGGGAGAGGGUGACUCCACUGUGCAGCAUGUCCAGCAAUUUGAAUAAAACAGUGAUGAUGAUGAUGAUGAUGAUGAUGACGACGACAACAACAACGACAACAACAAAACCUAAUCAUGGAAAUCAUCAAGGAGCAGGGACCCCGAGACUGCUGAGGAAGUUUAUCUGCCUCAUUCACACCCUGAAACCUGGGGUAUGUCUGAAGGCAGUCUCGAAGACAGGACAGUGACCCGGAUCAGACUUCUGGAUUGUGGUGUAGAUGUAAGUCCUGCGAUGAGGAUGGAAAUGUCCCAAUCAGCCUCUGCUGGUGCAGCCUGCUCUCCUGCACGCCAGAGCUCAGCACUCACAGUGGAGUUGGAGGCAACCAACUUUGGGUUGAAAAUAUUUGGACCAUACUUGUAUAGGGCUUUUCUUAUCAUAAUUGUCCAAAUGAUACAGUAUAAGUACUUAUAUAACAUUUGACCUAUGCUAGGCAUUGCAGAGACCCCCCCCCCCAGAGAAGAGUUAUCAGUAUGGGAGGCAGUGUCUGGGUGCUGUGCAAAUACUACAGUAUUUUAUAGAAGGGACCUGAACAUCCCUGGGUUUAUAAAGAGGAAGAGUGUCUGGAACCAACCCCACUGAGACAACUGAACACACACACACACACACACAAACAAACACUCACAGACAAACACACAUACAAAUUCAUACACACACUCUCACACACUCAUAUACACACAUACUCACACACACACACACACUCAUGUACGCACUCACACACGUGCACACAUGCACUCACACACGCACAUUCACACAAGCAUGCACACACACUCACAUACUCAUUAUGGGAUUGGGGUGACAGCUCAGUUGGUAAAGUGCUGGCCGUACAAGCCUGAGGAUCUGAAUUGAAUCCCUCAGAACCCCUGUGGGGGAGGGGAAGUUGGGCAUGAUGGCAUAUACUUGUAAUCCAGGCAAUGGGGAGUCAGAGGCAGGUGAGUCCCUGGGUCUCGCUGCCCAGACAGCCUAGCCUACUUAGCAAGCUCCAUACUAGUGAAAAACUUUCUCAAAAAGCAAGAUAGGGUGGGGCUGGAGAGAAGGAAGGCUCAGUAGUUAAGAGCACCAGCUGUUCUUCUGGAGGACUAGGGUUCAAUGCCCAGCACCUGCACAGUAGCACACAAGUGUUUGUGACUCCUGUUCCAGGGAUCCAGCAUCCUCACACAGACAUGCAUGCAGUCAAAACACCAAUGCACAUAAAAUAAAAAUAGUAAUAAAGAGCAAGGUAGGGGCUGGAGAGAUGGUUCGGCUCUUCUGGAGGACCCAGGUUCGAUUCCCGGCAUCCACAUGGCAGGUCACGACCCUCUUAACUCCAGUUUUUAGGGGCUCUGACACCCUCUUCUAGCCAACACCAAGCAUGCAUGAGAUACGCAGACAUACAUGCAGGAAGUAUGGAUGGGCAGUUAUCUAUUUUCUGGGAAGGAGUGGAUGGUGAUAUUUUAGGCUUCACAGGUCACACAGCUUCUGUCACAGUGACUCAGACAAAAGUAAAAGAGGAGCCACAGACAGAACGCUGGAGUGGGUGUGGCUUCCAGUACCCUCAUGCCACCCUGAGCAGCCACUCUGAAGGACAGUGACUGUCUCUCAGUAAGACUUUAUUUGCAGUGGACCACAGAGGGUCUUUCCCAGCUAUGGCACAUGAGAAAGUUUUGCCUAUCGCCUACUCUAAAAAUUUCUUUGAUGAUUUUUUAAAAAAUUAUUUUCAUGUGCAUUGGUGUUUUGCUUGCAUGUUUGUGCGAGGCUAUCAGAUCCUCUGGAACUGGAGUUACAGACAGUUGUGAGCUGCCAUGGGUGUUGGGAAUUAAACCAGGGUCCUCUGUAAGAACAACCAGUGCUCUUAACCUCUGAGCCAUCUCUCCAACCCCUUGCCUAUUGUUUUAGUUAAGGGUUCUAUUGUUGUGAUAAAACAUCAUGACCUAAAGCAACUUGGAGAAGAAAAGACUUAUUACAACUUAUAGUUACACAUCAUAGUCCUUUGAGGGGAGUCAGGGCAAGAACUCAAACAGGGCAGGACCCUGGAGGCAGGAGCUGAUGCAGAGGCCAUGGAGGGGUGCUGCUUACUUGAUUGCUCUCUGUGGCUUGCUAAGCCUUUCUUAUGGAACCCAGGACCACCAGCUCAGGGGCAGUCCUGCCCACAAUGGGCUGGGCCCUCCCACAAUGGGCUGGGCCUGCCCACAAUGGGCUGGGCCUUCCCACAUCAAUCUCUAAUUAAGAAAGUGCCCUACAGACUUGUCUACAUUUUCUUAAUUGAAAGUCCCUCUUCCCAAAUGACUCUAGAGUUUAUAAAGUUAAAAUAAGUUAACCUGGGCGUGUACGAAAAAGAGGCCUUUAAUGAGUGACAGUGUCAGUGACCCUGUCAUAGGUUGUAUGCCUUAUUCCUUCCUCAGUCAUCCUCUAUGGUUUUGGAUUUUUCUUCAGCAUAGUUAGUUGACUUCAUUCGUGGUAAUUUUGUUUCACCUUUGACCAGUAGUGGUAGCCAGUUCCAAGAUGGUGCCCAGCUGGCUUCAGUUCCUGCUUUUCUGAAAAGAUCAGAACCACUGGAGAGGAACUGUGCUCUCAGUGCCAUCCCACAGUGCAUAGGGCUGGACUGGCAGCCAAUGAACAUUGUAGAACAUCUACAGAAAAUGACAUCAGAGCCCAGGGAAAGAAGACACUGUGGCUUCCUCUUUACCCUCUUUGAGUGGCCCGCUGACUGUCACCUUCGAGGACACCUAAGCAAUCCUGUGGGAAGGGCCCCAUGUCAAAAACCAGACUGACCUUUUCAACCAUGUAGACCAUAUUGGAAGUGAACCUUCCAGUUUUGGUUUAGCAAGCCUUCACAUGACUGACACAUGCUGACACCCUGAUCUUCAGCCACAUGGUGCAGCUUAGCCAGGUUUCUGACCCCACAGAAGUUUUCAUACACACACACACACACACACACACACACACACACACACACACACGCACACACACACACACAUACACCUUGGGGACAUUAGUGAUGCAGCCACAGCUAGCUAAUACGUAGCUCUCAUGUUUACCCCACAUUGGCUAAUUGCUGCUUUGCUUGUAGAAGAGCAGAAGCUGGCUUUGCAAGUGAGAACUUCCGGUUUGCCCAACAGUUUGCUCACAGAAUAAAUGACAGAAAACAUGAUCAGCUGGCCAUUACUGCCAGAUGUUUUGAAAAGUCCCAGGGUUAAGUGGCUUUCCUCUAAUCUGACCUGUUACAUCACACAGCCCAUCUUCUGACCAUAUGAACUAUGACUACGGUAUAUCAAGAUUAAUAACACAACAUACUACUUAUUACAUAGAAAAUAUCACUGUCAAGGACUCACUGAAGAAGGUCCUAGUAUCAGCUCCAUGGUGUUCAGGUUGGGGAAGAGUCUGCAUAACCCCACCAAAUUUCAUGCUGAAAUUUGAAAUUUAAUCUCCGCUUAAUACUCUGAGGUACUACGAGGUUGGGACCUUGGAGAAGCAAUUAGGUCCUAAGAACUCUGCCUCCAUGAGUGGAUUAAUCCACUUACGGAUUAAUGGAUUACUGAGCUAAUGGGUUAUCUUGAGAGCAGGUCUGUCAUGCAAGCCGAUUUGGCUCUAUUUCUUACCUAGUCACCUCUUAGCGUGAGGAUCCAUGCUACCUCUGCAGAGUCCCUGCCAACAAGAAGAACCUCACCAGAUGUGGCAUUUAGACUUUGGGCACCCACCAUGAGAACCGAGAGAUAACUAACACCUAGUUCUUUAUAAACUAGUCGCGAGCAUUCUGUUGCAGCACUAGAAAACAACGCACAAAUGCGUCUUUGAGAUGGAUUAGACUUAGAGUCUGAGUCAGGACUCAAUGUAAUGUGAUUGAACUUGAGGUCCCAGCAUCCCAGACACCUUGCUUUUUAGAGGCCCACGCUGCCGCCUCUGUACCCUUUCUUCCCGGUGUUCUCUGCCCUCUUUGGCAGCUGGGGAAGGGAACACCCCUUUCUAUUUCAGGAUCCAGCUCAACUGUCACCUCCAUUGUACCACCUUCCCUUGACAUUCUCAGCCACUUAACAAAUAUUUAUCUAGGGACCAGCCAUUGACAAGUCCAGCUUAGCAGUCUGAGGGUUCAGCAGGAAAAAUAAAACAAACAAAAAGACGGAAAGAAAAACAAGGAUCUUGCGUUUAAGGGGGCGUUCCCGUGGAAGAAAAUAAACAGAUGACACGGAGAAGAUAA
Long non-coding RNA from Apodemus sylvaticus (European woodmouse), 4661 nucleotides. RefSeq lists it as uncharacterized. The record is from RefSeq and is a predicted model, not a curated record. NCBI's taxonomy places the organism in Eukaryota, Metazoa, Chordata, Mammalia, Rodentia, Muridae. The transcript is spliced from 2 exons.